RNAcentral lists this ribosomal RNA (165 nucleotides) under uncultured bacterium. RNAcentral's name for it is "partial 16S ribosomal RNA". It matches the Rfam family "Bacterial small subunit ribosomal RNA", at positions 355 to 511 of the family's 1533-position model. The record is from RNAcentral.
UAGGGAAUCUUCGGCAAUGGACGAAAGUCUGACCGAGCAACGCCGCGUGAGUGAAGAAGGUUUUCGGAUCGUAAAACUCUGUUGGUAGAGAAGAACGUUGGUGAGAGUGGAAAGCUCAUCAAGUGACGGUAACUACCCAGAAAGGGACGGCUAACUACGUGCGAG